RNAcentral lists this ribosomal RNA (459 nucleotides) under Triticum aestivum (bread wheat). RNAcentral describes it as "partial small subunit ribosomal RNA". Lineage: Eukaryota; Viridiplantae; Streptophyta; Magnoliopsida; Poales; Poaceae. The record is from RNAcentral.
AUGGAUCGGCUCCCUCUUCCUGGGGGCGGCCCCAGAGCCGCAGCCAAUACCCCUUUCUUCGUCGCGAUGGAUCAGUACGCCGCAUCCACAUCAGCUUCACCACCGGAAAAGGCGCCGGCGGCAGCAGCGCUCCCGGCCCCGGAACACUGUGGAAAGUCCAGCUACAACAAGAGAUCAUCUGACACGAUCAAGGCCAAGAUCAUGUCGCAUCCUCUCUAUCCGGCUCUGCUCGGAGCCUUCAUAGACUGCCGGAAAGUCGGAGCGCCGCCGGAAGUCGUUGGUCGGCUCUCCUCCCUUGUCGACGAGCUCCGGCCAAAUUCAGCCGGCAUGCAGGAACAGCCGGCGGACCCAGAGCUCGACCAGUUCAUGCAGACCUACCGUGAUAUGCUGGUGAUGUACAGUCAGGAGCUCACGAGGCAAAUCCAAGAAGCCAAUCAGUUCUUGAGGAGCAUGAACUAA